This 75-nucleotide transfer RNA is filed under the name Mycobacterium sp. SWH-M3. RNAcentral's name for it is "tRNA-Glu". It matches the Rfam family "tRNA". Rfam says of the family: Transfer RNA (tRNA) molecules are approximately 80 nucleotides in length. Their secondary structure includes four short double-helical elements and three loops (D, anti-codon, and T loops). The record is from RNAcentral. Lineage: Bacteria; Bacillati; Actinomycetota; Actinomycetes; Mycobacteriales; Mycobacteriaceae.
GGUCCGUUGGUGUAGACGGCAGCACACCUGGUUCUCAACCAGACGGCAGGAGUUCAAUUCUCCUACGGACUACCA